GAAUCUAGCGGGAGACAACAGUGGGGGAAUAUUGGACAAUGGGCGCAAGCCUGAUCCAGCAAUACCGCGUGUGUGAAGAAGGCCUGAGGGUUGUAAAGCACUUUCAAUAUGGAGGAACACCUGCAGGCUAUCUAUCCUGCAUCUAUGACAUUACCUAUCUCAAAAGCACCGGUCAAACUCCGUGCCAGCAGCCGCGGUAAU
This 201-nucleotide ribosomal RNA is filed under the name uncultured type I methanotroph. Its description in RNAcentral is "partial 16S ribosomal RNA". It matches the Rfam family "Bacterial small subunit ribosomal RNA", at positions 334 to 524 of the family's 1533-position model. Lineage: Bacteria; Pseudomonadati; Pseudomonadota; Gammaproteobacteria; Methylococcales; Methylococcaceae. The record is from RNAcentral.